Molecule: ribosomal RNA, 274 nt
Filed under: uncultured bacterium
Lineage: Bacteria
Description: partial 16S ribosomal RNA
Rfam family: Archaeal small subunit ribosomal RNA
Source: RNAcentral
AAACCAGCACCUCAAGUGGUCAGGAUGAUUAUUGGGCCUAAAGCAUCCGUAGCCGGCUCAGUAAGUUUUCGGUUAAAUCUGUACGCUCAACGUACAGGCUGCCGGGAAUACUGCAGAGCUAGGGAGUGGGAGAGGUAGACGGUACUCGGGAGGAAGUGGUAAAAUGCUUUGAUCUUUCGAUGACCACCUGUGGCGAAGGCGGUCUACCAGAACACGUCCGACGGUGAGGGAUGAAAGCUGGGGGAGCAAACCGGAUUAGAAACCCUUGUAGUCC